Molecule: ribosomal RNA, 468 nt
Filed under: uncultured bacterium
Lineage: Bacteria
Description: partial 16S ribosomal RNA
Rfam family: Bacterial small subunit ribosomal RNA
Source: RNAcentral
GACGAACGCUGGCGGCGUGCUUAACACAUGCAAGUCGAACGGAAAGGCCCUGCUUUUGUGGGGUGCUCGAGUGGCGAACGGGUGAGUAACACGUGAGUAACCUGCCCUUGACUUUGGGAUAACUUCAGGAAACUGGGGCUAAUACCGGAUAGGAGCUCCUGCUGCAUGGUGGGGGUUGGAAAGUUUCGGCGGUUGGGGAUGGACUCGCGGCUUAUCAGCUUGUUGGUGGGGUAGUGGUUUACCAAGGCUUUGACGGGUAGCCGGCCUGAGAGGGUGACCGGCCACAUUGGGACUGAGAUACGGCCCAGACUCCUACGGGAGGCAGCAGUGGGGAAUAUUGCACAAUGGGCGGAAGCCUGAUGCAGCAACGCCGCGUGCGGGAUGACGGCCUUCGGGUUGUAAACCGCUUUCGCCUGUGACGAAGCGUGAGUGACGGUAAUGGGUAAAGAAGCACCGGCUAACUACGUG